GAAGGGUGCAAGCGUUACUCGGAAUUACUGGGCGUAAAGCGUGCGUAGGUGGUCGUUUAAGUCCGUUGUGAAAGCCCUGGGCUCAACCUGGGAACUGCAGUGGAUACUGGGCGACUAGAGUGUGGUAGAGGGUAGCGGAAUUCCUGGUGUAGCAGUGAAAUGCGUAGAGAUCAGGAGGAACAUCCAUGGCGAAGGCAGCUACCUGGACCAACACUGACACUGAGGCACGAAAGCGUGGGGAGCAAACAGGAUUAGAUACCCUGGUAGUCCACGCCCUAAACGAUGCGAACUGGAUGUUGGGUGCAAUUUGGCACGCAGUAUCGAAGCUAACGCGUUAAGUUCGCCGCCUGGGGAGUACGGUCGCAAGACUGAA
This 373-nucleotide ribosomal RNA is filed under the name uncultured bacterium. Its description in RNAcentral is "bacterial SSU rRNA". It matches the Rfam family "Bacterial small subunit ribosomal RNA", at positions 527 to 898 of the family's 1533-position model. The record is from RNAcentral.